Molecule: ribosomal RNA, 497 nt
Filed under: uncultured bacterium
Lineage: Bacteria
Description: partial 16S ribosomal RNA
Rfam family: Bacterial small subunit ribosomal RNA
Source: RNAcentral
GAUGAACGCUGGCGGCGUGCCUAAUACAUGCAAGUCGAGCGAACAGACGAGGAGCUUGUUCCUCUGACGUUAGCGGCGGACGGGUGAGUAACACGUGGAUAACCUACCUAUAAGACUGGGAUAACUUCGGGAAACCGGAGCUAAUACCGGAUAAUAUAUUGAACCGCAUGGUUCAAUAGUGAAAGACGGUUUUGCUGUCACUUAUAGAUGGAUCCGCGCCGCAUUAGCUAGUUGGUAAGGUAACGGCUUACCAAGGCAACGAUGCGUAGCCGACCUGAGAGGGUGAGCGGCCACACUGGAGCUGAGCCCCGGCCCAGCCACCUGGGGGAGGCAACAGUGGGGAUUCUUCGGCAAUGGGGGAAAGCUUGACGGAGCACCGCCGCGGGAGUGAAAAUGGUCUUCGGAUCGUAAAACUCUUUUAUUGGGGAAAAAAAAAUGUGUAAGUAAAUGUGCACGUCUUGACGGUACCUAAUAAAAAACCCACGCCUAACUACGUG